CAUCUCCGCCCGCCGUCAUGGGUACUGGAACGGUUCUAUUUGCGGUUACACCUGCAUCUGCAUUUGUGUUUGCAUUUGCAUUUGCAUUUGCGCUUCCGGCU
This 101-nucleotide microRNA precursor is filed under the name Trichophyton rubrum BMU01672. The record is from RNAcentral. Lineage: Eukaryota; Fungi; Ascomycota; Eurotiomycetes; Onygenales; Arthrodermataceae.